CUGGAAUCUCUUACGCUUAUGGCUUUUGUAGGAAUUCUAAGAGAAACCCACAAAAUCUUCUCCAAAAAUGGAAGGCUAAUGGCCUACAUUGCCCUUCUCACCCUCCUCAUCAAGUCUACUCUUUUCCUGUCCAACUUCUUCUCCAUCAAGCCUGUGAUCACUGACUUCCUCUUCGAGCAUAACCUCCUCCGCAUCACUACUCCUGAAAACCCAGAAUUCACCAACAUCCUCACCCAUAUAAGAAAAGACAUCAAAAUCAUUUUUGGGGUCGAAAUCAUUUACAUUAUUCUUGAUUCCGUUGC
Molecule: unclassified non-coding RNA, 302 nt
Filed under: Hevea brasiliensis (rubber tree)
Lineage: Eukaryota; Viridiplantae; Streptophyta; Magnoliopsida; Malpighiales; Euphorbiaceae
Source: RNAcentral